AUUGAACGCUGGCGGCAUGCCUUACACAUGCAAGUCGAACGGCAGCACGGGUUCUUGCGCCUGGUGGCGAGGGGCGAACGGGUGAGUAAUACAUCGGAAGAUGUUCUCUAGUGGGGGAUAGCCCGGCUAAAGCCUGAUUAAUACGGCAUACGAACUACUGGUGAAAGCGUGGGCCCUUGUGGCCUCGCGCUGUUGGGUUGGUCAUUGGCUGAUUAGCUAGUGAGCGGGGGAUAGGCCUACCAAGGGGACGAGCAGUAGCUGGUCUGAGAGGGCGACCCGCCACACUGGGAGUGAGACACGGCCCACACUCCUACGGGAGGCACCAGUGGGGAAUUUUGGGGAAGGGGGGAGAGCGUGAUACUGCAAUACGGCGGGUGUGAAGAAGGCCUUCGGGUUGUAAAGCACUUUUGUCCGGAAAGAAAUCCUUGGCCCUAAUACGGUCGGGGGAUGACGGUACCGGAAGAAUAAGCACCGGCUAACUACGUG
Molecule: ribosomal RNA, 486 nt
Filed under: uncultured bacterium
Lineage: Bacteria
Description: partial 16S ribosomal RNA
Rfam family: Bacterial small subunit ribosomal RNA
Source: RNAcentral